CCGAUGACCUCUCCUCCCUUAUCACCACCCUUCAACGUGACCAGGCUAAUACAAUCGGAGCUCUCCACCAAAAACUACAAGUAUUUCUAGGUAUUGAGUUGACUCAGACGAGCAAUUUGAUUCUAAGCAAAUUGUUGUUAUCUAGUUAAAACCAAUUUCAAUGGUUAACAUCAGUCUAAUUAAUACAACUAAUUUGCAGUUCCAGAUUUCAUGAUUAUCUUGAGGAUUUUACUAAGUUGUGACAUAUUGAGCAUGCAACGCAUAGAAGUUUUGCCGAG
This 278-nucleotide long non-coding RNA is filed under the name Elaeis guineensis (African oil palm). RNAcentral's name for it is "long non-coding RNA (EGUI_LNC007313)". Lineage: Eukaryota; Viridiplantae; Streptophyta; Magnoliopsida; Arecales; Arecaceae. The record is from RNAcentral.